AACGAACGCUGGCGGCAGGCUUAACACAUGCAAGUCGAACGCACCUUUCGGGGUGAGUGGCAGACGGGUGAGUAACGCGUGGGAAUCUACCCUUCUCUACGGGAUAGCUCCGGGAAACUGGAAUUAAUACCGUAUACGUCCUGAGGGAGAAAGAUUUAUCGGGGAAGGAUGAGCCCGCGUUGGAUUAGCUAGUUGGUGGGGUAAAGGCCUACCAGGGCGACGAUCCAUAGCUGGUCUAAGAGGAUGAUCAGCCACAUUGGGACUGAGACACGGCCCAAACUCCUACGGGAGGCAGCAGUGGGGAAUAUUGGACAAUGGGCGCAAGCCUGAUCCAGCCAUGCCGCGUGAGUGAUGAAGGCCCUAGGGUUGUAAAGCUCUUUCAGUGGGGACGAUAAUGACGGUACCCACAGAAGAAGCCCCGGCUAACUUCGUGCCAGCCGCCGCCGUAA
This 449-nucleotide ribosomal RNA is filed under the name uncultured bacterium. RNAcentral describes it as "partial 16S ribosomal RNA". It matches the Rfam family "Bacterial small subunit ribosomal RNA", at positions 29 to 523 of the family's 1533-position model. The record is from RNAcentral.